AUUGAACGCUGGCGGAAUGCUUAACACAUGCAAGUCGAGCGGGGUGUAGCAAUACACCUAGCGGCGGACGGGUGAGGAAUACAUAGGAAUCUGCCUCAGAGCGGGGGAUAGCCCGGGGAAACCCGGAUUAAUACCGCAUGAUGUCGCAAGACCAAAGUGGGGGACCGCAAGGCCCCACACUCUGAGAUGAGCCUAUGUCCGAUUAGCUAGUUGGCGGGGUAACGCCCGCCAAGGCGACGAUCCGUAGCUGGUCUGAGAGGAUGAUCAGCCACACUGGGACUGAGACACGGCCCAGGCUCCUACGGGAGGCAGCAGUGGGGAAUAUUGGACAAUGGGCGCAAGCCUGAUCCAGCGAUGCCGCGUGUGUGAAGAAGGCCUGC
RNAcentral lists this ribosomal RNA (380 nucleotides) under uncultured bacterium. RNAcentral's name for it is "bacterial SSU rRNA". It matches the Rfam family "Bacterial small subunit ribosomal RNA", at positions 29 to 419 of the family's 1533-position model. The record is from RNAcentral.